Molecule: ribosomal RNA, 253 nt
Filed under: uncultured bacterium
Lineage: Bacteria
Description: partial 16S ribosomal RNA
Rfam family: Bacterial small subunit ribosomal RNA
Source: RNAcentral
UACGUAGGGGGCAAGCGUUGUCCGGAUUUACUGGGUGUAAAGGGCGCGCAGGGGGGCUUGAUAGUUAGAGGUGAAAUCCUGUGGCUUAACUGCAGAACUGCCUUUAAUACUUCAAGUCUUGAGUGCGGAAGAGAGAGACGGAAUUCCAGGUGUAGUAGUGAAAUACGUAGAUAUCUGGAAGAACACCAGUUGCGAAGGCGGUCUCUUGGUCCGUAACUGACACUUAGGCGCGAAAGCGUGGGGAGCAAACAGG